AGCUGCAGCAGUGCCUCCGCGAGCGACGGAAGGGGAAGGAAGAUAUGUUUUCCGGGAGCUCUACAAACCUCUCCUUUCUCUCUCCUUCAUCCACACUCGCUCGUUCGGUUCUUCCCGGAGUUACUGCCUUUCACGCUCAUCGCCGCUCCUCCUUUCUCUCCCCCAGUUCUCACAGUUUUCGGCUCCAAAACAAUGCGUUUCGGCCGGAGAUUUGGACGCGCAACUUCUCUACUGCCGCUUUGCCUUUUGACCUCUCGCCACCGCCGAUCGACCACGACCUUAUCGAUACUAUGAAAGUUGCUGGUGCGAAGGUAUUAGAGGAUGACAUAAUUGAGACCUAUGGCAAUGACGAUGAGGCCUUAAGUGCAGCUGAAAAUGGAGUUGCUGUUGUGGAUCUUUCACAUUAUGGUCGGAUAAGAGUUAGUGGAGAAGACCGAGUUCAGUUUCUUCACAACCAAAGUACUGCAAAUUUUGAAAUUCUUCAUGAAGGACAGGGUUGUGACACUGUUUUUGUUACACCAACAGCUCGUACCAUUGACAUUGCACAUGCAUGGAUUAUGAAAAAUGCAAUAACAUUGGUGACCUCACCAGAGACAAGCGAGAGAAUAACAUCAAUGCUUAGAAAGUACAUAUUUUUUUCUGACAAAGUAGAAAUACAAGAUAUUUCUAAGCAAACAUGCUUUUUUGUACUAGUGGGGCCUAGAAGCAACCAAAUAAUGGAAGGAUUGAAUCUUGGUGACCUUGUUGGACAACCAUAUGGUUCACACAAGCAUUACAGUGUAAAUGGGAAUCCCGUAACUAUAGCAGUGGGAAAUAUCAUAUCAGAAGAAGGUUUUUCACUGUUGGUGUCACCAGCUACUGCUAAAUCGGUCUGGAAAGCUAUUGUAGAUUAUGGUGCUGUACCCAUGGGUUCAAAUGCAUGGGAAGAAUUAAGGAUAAUUCAAGGAAGACCAGCACCUGGUAAAGAGCUUACCGAUGAAUUUAACGUUCUGGAGGCUAAUCUUUGGAAUGCUGUUUCUCUGAAUAAAGGGUGUUAUAAGGGACAAGAAACCAUUUCUAGGCUUGUUACUUACGAUGGAAUCAAACAAAGAUUGUGGGGAAUUCGUCUAUCUUCGUCUGUAGAACCUGGCAGCAGCAUCUCAGUUGAUGGCAAAAAGGUUGGCAAACUAACCAGUGUCACAAGCAGUGGAGAUACAUCCAAGCCUUUCGGGUUGGGCUAUAUUAGGAAGAAAGCUGCUUCCAAGGGAGACACUGUAAUCAUCGGGGAUGGUGUUGUGGGGACCGUGGUGGAAGUCCCUUUUCUUGGUCGCCAACUCCCGCCAUCAUCAAAGAGUUAAUAAGACAGUUCCAGGUGUAAAAUUCUGUUCCAUUCAAGCACCAAUAAUGAUCUCCAAAAUGAAUUUGGAUUGCGGUUUGUCACGAUGAUUGGAGGUGUUCCUACCUGAGGCGUGCCAUUUUUUUGCAAAAGCCUUGCAAAUGUCUGCAACGGACGUAGCUUUGUUGAUUACCCCAAGAAGGUUGUAUGAUGGCGUCGCCGUCUUUGGAUGAUGGCCCAUGUGACACGGCGAGGUUUUGUUGGUAGUGGGUGGUGGCUGGCCGGGGACGACGCUAGCAGAUUGAGCGAUCAGAUAGGAUGAUAGCGUGCAACUGAUGGAUGGAGAAGGUAGAGGAGGGGGGGAGGGGGGGAGGGGUUGAAGCCAGGUGAGAAUGGAGAUUUUGGGGAAAUUAAGGUAAAAGCUAAGGUGGUUCUUUGUUCAAACAAUUGUUCCACAAAGGGCGCCACGUUCAUCAUUUUACUUGCAUGAAUCAAGUGAACCUCAAUGUGAAGUGUAGUGUAUGUAUGGAUAUUUAGAUAAAGACCAAUCGUUUUGAGCAUAUUACC
Molecule: RNA transcript, 1882 nt
Organism: Ipomoea triloba (trilobed morning glory)
Lineage: Eukaryota; Viridiplantae; Streptophyta; Magnoliopsida; Solanales; Convolvulaceae
Gene name: putative transferase At1g60990, chloroplastic
Exons: 14
Source: RefSeq, a predicted model, not a curated record